RNAcentral lists this ribosomal RNA (422 nucleotides) under Limnebius gracilipes. Its description in RNAcentral is "SSU rRNA". It matches the Rfam family "Eukaryotic small subunit ribosomal RNA", at positions 195 to 602 of the family's 1831-position model. The record is from RNAcentral. Lineage: Eukaryota; Metazoa; Arthropoda; Insecta; Coleoptera; Hydraenidae.
GAAGGAGCGCUUUUAUUAGAUCAAAACCAAUCGGUGGCGAAUCGCCGUCACCGUACUCCUUGGUGACUCUGAAUAACUUGUUGCUGAUCGCACGGUCUCGAACCGGCGACGCAUCUUUCAAAUGUCUGCCUUAUCAACUGUCGAUGGUAGGUUCUGCGCCUACCAUGGUUGUAACGGGUAACGGGGAAUCAGGGUUCGAUUCCGGAGAGGGAGCCUGAGAAACGGCUACCACAUCCAAGGAAGGCAGCAGGCGCGCAAAUUACCCACUCCCGGCACGGGGAGGUAGUGACGAAAAAUAACGAUACGGGACUCAUCCGAGGCCCCGUAAUCGGAAUGAGUACACUCUAAACCCUUUAACGAGGAUCAAUUGGAGGGCCAGUCUGGUGCCAGCAGCCGCGGUAAUUCCAGCUCCAAUAGCGUAU